CCGUUCCUCCUUCCCUGCGCCGCUCCUCUCCUCCCCUCGCUGCACCCAGCCACCGUCGCCAUGAUCGCCGACAUCCGCGCGCUCUCCGACCUUCCCGCCACCUAGGAGCUCAUCCAUCAGCUCCGCCGGGAACCUCUGCUUCAUCUACGACCACAGGAUCAACCCGGAGAGCCCACAGCGCCAGAUCCGUCCUCUUCCUCCCCGUCGGUCGCCAACGUUCAUCGUCGUGCUGCUACUAAGCCACCCAGCGAGCCAUCUUGAGCUCCACGAUUCCAAGGGCGCGACAAGCGAUUAACAGAUGAUCAUGGAACCUUCCAAUCAGAGAGAUCUGCAUCCUCCCUGUCAUCUAAUAAUCUUCUGCUCUUCAUUGGUUCUGAGAAAGCAUUAAGGAGAUUAGGAGAAGGGGAGGCGUUAAUUCAAUUCAUGGUGUUGGCUUCUCAUUUGUGCUGACUAUUGUGGCAUUCGUACAAAUUCACAUUAUGCCAUAUGAUAUCCAGAUGCUUUUCUGAUCUGUAUUGAACAUGUUUUACACGCCUUAUAUGGUGACAUGUCUUGCCAAAAGCAUUUCUCUAGUAGUAGUGAUGAAAAUAUGGGGAAAAACAUGUAUAGAUGAACACGUAGAAUUCCCAAAAAAUUCGGUUGACAAUUUUCUUACCGGACGAGUAGCUCUUUCAGGAAACACUGCAAGUGGCAAUAUAUAGUAAAUGUUUGAAAUUGUCUUGGUCGAUAAAUAAAUUGUAGAGUUAGUUUUAGAAUUCAAAGAUAAUGGAUCUAUCUAUUCCAUCUACUGAAUAUUUACUUUGGUCUUGACAUACAAAAUAUUUUCAGUUCAUGUGUGUCAAGAGAAAAAAAGAACAAGGGCCCCUUG
This is a long non-coding RNA of Triticum urartu, 868 nucleotides long. RefSeq lists it as uncharacterized. The record is from RefSeq and is a predicted model, not a curated record. Lineage: Eukaryota; Viridiplantae; Streptophyta; Magnoliopsida; Poales; Poaceae.